RNAcentral lists this unclassified non-coding RNA (319 nucleotides) under uncultured fungus. RNAcentral describes it as "partial contains 5.8S ribosomal RNA and internal transcribed spacer 2". The stretch from base 1 to 133 matches the Rfam family "5.8S ribosomal RNA", at positions 22 to 154 of the family's 154-position model. Lineage: Eukaryota; Fungi. The record is from RNAcentral.
UGGUUCUGGCAUCGAUGAAGAACGCAGCGAAAUGCGAUAAGUAGAGUGAAUUGCAGAAUUCCGUGAAUCAUCGAAUCUUUGAACGCACAUUGCGCCUGUUGGCAUUCCAACAGGCAUGCCUGUUCGAGCGUCAUUUAAGUCCUCAAGCCUAGCUUGGUGUUGGGUGCUGUUCGCGCUGCGCGGACUCGCCCCAAAUAUAUUGGCAGUCAGCAACAGGGUUGUUGGAGCGUAGCACAAUUUGCGCUCCCAGCCACUAGCGCUGGCGUACAUGAAGCUUAUUCCAACGUUUGACCUCGGAUCAGGUAGGGAUACCCGCUGA